UACAGAGGGUGCGAGCGUUGUCCGGAAUCACUGGGCGUAAAGGGCGCGUAGGCGGCCCCAGUACGCGUGCCGUGAAAGCCCGGGGCUCAACCCCGGGUCGGCGGUGCGAACGGGGCGACUGGAGCACGUCAGAGGCAGGUGGAAUUCCGGGUGUAGCGGUGGAAUGCGUAGAGAUCCGGAAGAACACCGGUGGCGAAGGCGGCCUGCUGGGACGUGGCUGACGCUGAGGCGCGACAGCGUGGGGAGCAAACAGG
This 254-nucleotide ribosomal RNA is filed under the name uncultured bacterium. Its description in RNAcentral is "partial 16S ribosomal RNA". It matches the Rfam family "Bacterial small subunit ribosomal RNA", at positions 524 to 776 of the family's 1533-position model. The record is from RNAcentral.